GUGAAUCAUCGAAUUUUUGAACACAAAUUGCACUCUCCGGUUUUCCGGGAGAGUAUGCCUGUUUGAGGGUCAUCCUAAAAAAAAAUCGACAUUGUUUCUGUUUUAUGGUGACUUUCGUCGCAGAUGUGUUAUCUUAAAUCUCGGUUUAAUCGACUUAAAAUUGUUUGUUAUGAUUCUAAGAAUGAUUCUAAGAUUUUUCUUGUACGUUAUAUGGAUC
RNAcentral lists this unclassified non-coding RNA (217 nucleotides) under Glomeraceae sp. RNAcentral's name for it is "partial contains 5.8S ribosomal RNA and internal transcribed spacer 2". The stretch from base 1 to 72 matches the Rfam family "5.8S ribosomal RNA", at positions 84 to 154 of the family's 154-position model. The record is from RNAcentral. Lineage: Eukaryota; Fungi; Glomeromycota; Glomeromycetes; Glomerales; Glomeraceae.